This 3513-nucleotide long non-coding RNA is filed under the name Homo sapiens (human). RNAcentral describes it as "uncharacterized LOC101929305, transcript variant 3 (LOC101929305)". The record is from RNAcentral. Lineage: Eukaryota; Metazoa; Chordata; Mammalia; Primates; Hominidae.
GCAGACCACGUUAGAACCUCGGCUCCUGGAGUAGCAGAACCUCGGCUUCAAUGGGACCCUCAUUUCAUAAAUGAAGAAACUGAGAUUCAAAGAGGGGAACUACCGAAGGUUACAGAGCGAGUUCGUGGGUAAGCAUGAUGGGGAAACUGAGCCUCACAUGUAUGAAUUCCAGCAUAUAAGCAACAGACUCCAGAUUUGGACAUGUAUAUCUUAUUCCAGGCUUCCCAGAUGACCACCAAGGUGGAAGGGAUGAUGAUGUCCAGGCAGAAGGGAGCUAGGCCGGCCCAGGCUUUUCCUCUAGGCACAGCGGACUCCAGGUUCAGCCUUCCCGGAUGGUAAUGUUGCAUUCUGAAGAGCUACUUUCCCGCCAACUCAUCUCUGGACUUCUCUGGGGCCCAACUCUGGUUUCCUGCCUGCAGGAGGUCCCCUCUGACUUCCGACAGUAGAUGACCCUUCUGACUCACAGUUCUACUGCUGGGAAAUGCCUCCAGAGCUGCUGCCCACCCUCUCUGCAUCCCUCCAGGUCACUGGGUGUUGAGUCAGGGGAAGCAGGGAUACACACGGGCGGGAAACUCAGGUCUCCUAAAUGUCAGAGCCUCAGGACUUCGGCUACUCAGAAGUAGCUCCCUCCUGGGCCACCAGGGAGCAGCAGGGCAGCCAGCAUCCAGACAUCCCCCCUGGGUUCUGCUGCUCAGAGGCUAGAUGGAGAACCAAGGUGGGAAAAAGGCUUAAACCACAGCGUGGGGAGAUUUAGGUUAGAUGGGUCAGAGGAAGUUUAGGACAAGCCUUGCCCUUUUCAGUUUCUGUCCAGCUUCAGCACAGCCACUGCUUCCUCUCUUUGGUUUUUACCCAUCCCCCUCUCUCCCAUCACCUCUAUCCCCUUCCAGCUUUCCUUUCCUUCCCUCCUUCCCAAACCCCAGAGUUUCUCAGGAUUAGCUGCCCGUGUGCCUAUCUCCCCCACCCCCAUGCUUUCCUCACUGUCUCACAGAAACAGGCAAACACACACACAUGCAUACAACCAUGAGCUGGCCCUGAGAGUUCUCUGACUGGACUGGGGUUGGAGCCCCAGCUCUUGUCCUGAGCUGAGGCCCUUCCCCCAGGUAUCUUGGGGCUUCCAUCAUUUCUCUUGACAGGAGCUGUGGGCGUCUGGGCAGAUGGGAACCUGGGGGAGGUGUGGGGAGCCCUCUCUGAGGCAGGAAGCUCCCACGCUACUGUAGUUAAAAUAAUCCGGCAGCAACUUGGGGCAGCCAUCUGGGAUGCCCAGAUCUUCCAGGACACCCAGCUCUCAACAACAACCCUAUAGGAACAAAUCAAAAACCUAAGAGAUACUUAUAGGCCCUGGAAAUGUCUCCCAAAAGUGGCCUGAACUUGAGCCCUGUUUCCUUUUAUCUUCUUCAGGUUAGCACUGGGCAUUGGCAUUUGCAAAAAAACUCUAAGCAUUAAGCAAAACUUGUAGGAGUGGAAGAUACAGCGUUCUGGACCUCCAGUCCUAAUACCCAGCCACACCCCAGCAGCUAUGCAUGGUUCCAUGGGAGAGCAGGCAUAGCCCAUCCUGCUGGCAUAUAGUCCAGCCAUAUCUUCCAAUGCCCACCUGGAGACUAAGCCGAGUUCUGCCCAGCAACAGGAGCUCAGAGCUCCAGAGAGCCUCUCCUGGGGUGCAGACUCAGGAGAUCUUAGCUCAGGAGCAGACUUAGCCUGACUUCCUCUUUUAUAGGAGGAGACAGACUUAGUUACAGAGGAAACCAGAGUUGUUAUAAAUAGCAAGGAAGGGAGAAACCUGCUAUGGAUUACAAACACGCCAUCAAUCUUAAAACAAACUAUUUUUAGUUUCAAAUAAUAACGAGAGUCUAAUUAAUGCUCUGUAUAACUUCAAAUGUGGGAUCUUUAUCUGCCUUUCUACUUUGUGAUGCUUUCUAAUACAGUAUUAGGGCCAAAGGCAGGAAGAGAUGUGGGCAAUUCUCAAUGUUACCAAAUCCUAGAUAUGGAAAGAACCUGAGAAAUUUAGUCCAGCCCUUUCAUUUUCAGUGAAGAAACUCAGGCCCAGAGAGGUAAAAGGACUUGUCCAAAGUUGCAUAGUAAGGUAGGGACUGAGCAGUGACUAAAAGCCUAGUCCCUGUACUCCAGAAGCAGGACAGUUUCCACAGCAGCACAAUAGAACCCAAAGGCUAAACAUCUGUGGUUGGGCAGUUGGUGAGUUUAUAGCCUGGAUAAAAGUCAGGUCUAAGCCAGGUGUGGAGGCUCACGCCUGUAAUCCCAGCACUUUGGGAGGCUAAGGCAGGUGAAUCACUUGAGGCCAGGAGUUUGAGACCAACCUGGCCAACAUGGCAAAACCUCAUCUCUACUAAAAAGUACAAAAAUUAGCCAGAUGUGACGGCACAUGCCUGUAAUCCCAGCUACUCAGGAGGCUGAGGCACGAGAAUCGGUUGAACCCGGGAGGUGGAGAUUUCAGUGAGCCGAGAUCGCACUACUGCACUUCAACCUGGGGGACAAAGCAAGACUCUGUCUCAAAAAAAAAAAAAAAAAAAAAAAAAUUCUGAAUGAAAUAGCAAAAGACAGCCCAGAAGCUGAAGUGUGGUCUUCUGAGUCACCGAGUUUUGGGUUCACAUCCCAGCUCUGCAACUGACUAGCUUUGUAACCCUGGGCCUGUGUGUAACUACUCCAAGCAUCAGCUCCCACAUCUCAAAAUGAGAAUAAUCACACUCACUUCAUUACAGGACUAUUAUGAGGUUUAAAUGAGGUAACGUGGGUCAAGCAUCCAGCACAGUGCUCAGCAAAAAAUAGAUGUUAAUUUCCUUCCCAUUUCCCUCGGAUUCUCUACCCCUUCUUCAAUGGAUUCUUAUCCUCUAACUGGACAGAAGGGCAGAUUUGUCAUAAAGCAGUCACGUGAGGGAUAAGAAGUCUCACAUGAGUGUGAAUGAGGCUGGGGGUGGGGGCGUAGUUUAUGGCAAUGAAGUUUGCAUGGCACAAGUGGUCAGUGUCAGAUCCAGAGGGCGGGAGAAGACAGAUUUGCAGAAAAUUAUCCAUCCUCUGCUAACCACUCAGUGACGGGCCUCGGGGUUCAGGGUCAGUGUUUACAGGGGAGGAGGGAGGCUGGGCAUGCUGGGUCCUCAUUGUACACAAAUACCCCGGGCCUCAACCUCACCCAUGUGCCACACUGUGCCAAGGGUGUUACAUAACAUUUCUCUUUUAAUCCUCACAACAAUCUAUGAGGCAAAUACUGUUCUCGUCCCCAUUUUGCAGAAGAGGAAAUGAGCUCAAAGGUCACUUGGCUAGUGUAUAGUCAUUAGUGCUGUCUCCAAAUAUUUCCGGCUCUCUGCCUUCUGGCACAAGGUAGGACUGCAUGUUCUCACUCUUUGAUGCUAGCUGUGGACAUGUGACCAACUUUAACCAAUAAAACGUGGCGGAACUGAUGUGCGUCAGCUCUAGUGGAAGCAUUAAGACUCUGGCACCCUCACACCUAUGUUGUUCAUAGAGUGUAAAUGAGAAAUAAACUUUUAUUGUUAAACCACUGAA